UCUCCGUUGGUGAACCAGCGGAGGGAUCAUUACCGAGUGCAAACUCAUAACCCUUUGUGAAUCUAUAUCUGUUGUUGGGGCGGCCUGCUCGCGGGCGAGCCCGCAGGUAAUUGCAGUAUCUGUGUUUGAACCCGACGGUACCUCUGAGUGUUCUUCGCGAACAGUUAAAACUUUUAACAACGGAUCUCUUGGCUCUG
RNAcentral lists this unclassified non-coding RNA (197 nucleotides) under plant metagenome. Its description in RNAcentral is "partial contains small subunit ribosomal RNA, internal transcribed spacer 1, and 5.8S ribosomal RNA". The record is from RNAcentral.